Ruditapes philippinarum (Manila clam) is the source of this 842-nucleotide long non-coding RNA. RefSeq lists it as uncharacterized. NCBI's taxonomy places the organism in Eukaryota, Metazoa, Mollusca, Bivalvia, Venerida, Veneridae. The record is from RefSeq and is a predicted model, not a curated record. The transcript has 3 exons.
UUAUAAUAAUUAUUAUCAAAAAAAAAAAUAACCGAUUGAGCAUUAGAAUCAAAGUUUUGCCUAUGAAAAAGUAUCAAUGGUUAUGUUAUACAUGUAUGCAAAGUUAUCGUUUAUGGAUACAUGAUAUUUCCAAUUUAAUAUUGCAUUAUUUUGGAUCGAAUAAAGGUCUUAGUAUGCUGGUUUCUUCCGCAUUAUAAAUCCGUGGCAUUAUUAAUGCUAAAUGCUUUAUUACACAAACGGUAUCUAGGCAUAUCACGCGUUUUCAAAACAGCCAAUGAGUUUAAAGCGUUGGUUUUGUAUCACGUGAAUCCUAUCAACCAAUCAGAAAUAGCGCGGGCGAAAUGAAAAAAGAAAAAACGGGAUUGGAAAUGGAUAGUUAAUAAAAUUCAGAAUAUUGCAAAACAAGGACAGUGUACAGCGUGUUUAAAUCUUCUAGAAAUGCAGCUGUGCCCUCUUUACAGCAAUUAUAGAUGAAGCAAAGUAUGGUAGCAAGUAAUAUAGAUAUACACACAUGCCGAAGAAGAUUGUAAUAUCUGGAGAUAACAUUUCCUACGUCACGAAAUAGACACCGUCACACUGGUCUACGUAACAUUCCUAUAGAUGAUUGAUAUAUUUAAGUGCUUUUAAGAACUGUGUUUGUAUGACGAAUUUCUGUGAAUACGGAUUUUUAGUUUUAAUGAUUAUUAUUAAAACUUUCUGUAAUAAUCAAUUUGUGCUAUGGACUCAUUUUCCUAAAAUAAUAUGUGAAUGUUAACACAAAUGAUAUGAAUAUCUUUAAAAUGUUUUAUGGGUGUAAUACAAGUGGCUCAUAAAAAUCAUUGUUAAGAUAAAUAGAAUCGAAC